Molecule: ribosomal RNA, 389 nt
Filed under: Myosorex cafer (Dark-footed forest shrew)
Lineage: Eukaryota; Metazoa; Chordata; Mammalia; Eulipotyphla; Soricidae
Description: partial 16S ribosomal RNA
Rfam family: Bacterial large subunit ribosomal RNA
Source: RNAcentral
CGGCCGCGGUAUCCUGACCGUGCAAAGGUAGCAUAAUCAUUUGUUCCUUAAUUAGGGACUAGUAUGAAUGGCCACACGAGGGUUUAACUGUCUCUUAUUUCUAAUCAGUGAAAUUGACCUUCCCGUGAAGAGGCGGGAAUAAUAAAAUAAGACGAGAAGACCCUAUGGAGCUUAAAUUAUAACCUGGGAUAUAGAUUUCGGUUGGGGUGACCUCGGAGUAUAAAAUAACCUCCGAGCGAUUACCAAGAUUAACAGAUCGAAGUCAAUCCAAUUGAUCAACGAAACAAGUUACCCUAGGGAUAACAGCGCAAUCCUAUUCAAGAGUCCCUAUCGACAAUAGGGUUUACGACCUCGAUGUUGGAUCAGGACAUCCUAAUGGUGCAGCAGCU